This 1298-nucleotide long non-coding RNA is filed under the name Sorghum bicolor (sorghum). RNAcentral's name for it is "long non-coding RNA (SBIC_LNC000464)". Lineage: Eukaryota; Viridiplantae; Streptophyta; Magnoliopsida; Poales; Poaceae. The record is from RNAcentral.
UGGGCCUUUCUUCUAUAUUUCGUGAUAACCCCCUGCAAAAAUAGACAAACACCAAAACUCAUGGAAUUCUGUGAGAUGAAACCCUAAUUUUGGAUGUUGGUUGCAUAUAGGUCCUUUUCCAUGAUUAGUUGACGGUUAAAUGUGAGCAUUAAGGACCAUCAACAAGCUCCCCCAAGCUUAACCUUUGCUCGUCCCUGAGCAAGGAUGAACUCAAGAGUUUCUGCAGUGGUUUCAUGCCUUAAAGGUACACAUGCAUUCAAACAAGAUCUCAUCUCUGGGUUAGGGUAAACUAUUAAGAUUUAAACUUACUCAUUUUUCCUUCCACCAUGGGGCUUGCAACCGUCGCUUGUGUCUUGAGCAGUUAAAAGAUAGAACGGUCUAGUCAAGCGCCAUGUCUUUUGUUCUUCGAUUAACUAUAGCUCUGGAGUUUUUACAGUUUUUUAAAUAAAACUUAGAGGUUCCUUGUAUGACUCUCUCUAGUCUCUCUUUUGUGGUAUUUCUGGAUCCUUACCAAGGCAGUAAUGGUAUAUGCCUUCUCUCAAAGUAUGUCGUCUUUUUGGUAUGAGGCAUAGUGGCAUUGCCUUCUCUCUCACCCUACUCUAAUAAGGUUUUGAUAUCUAGAGCUCAUAGGUGGGAGACAACUAAUACAUACUUACAAGACAUUUAUUGCAUAGUCAAACCAUGGAUCUAGAAGAACAAGUCAAUAAGUCAAAUCAAGAUGUGCAUGUGUGGCGAAUGAAUGGUAAUAAUGGUGAAAAUAAUGGUGAAAGUCUAAUUCUACUUUUGCUCUUUUGAGGGGGUACAUACCUUCCUUGCACUUGAGGCUUUUGAGGGGAAUGAGAUGCUCUAUAUUUUAUUUUUCUUUUCUCUCAGGUGGGUAUCUUGUAGCCCUAAUUCUACUAUCGGACACUUGUCCAUUUUUACCUCUCGUCUCACUUUUUCUUUUUUUCGAGGUUUCGGGCACUUGCCUCUUUUUAUUUCCUCGUAUUCAUAUUUUUUUCAGAACACUCAUCCUCCUAGAAUAAUAUAGCGAGUGGUAGUAACCAAGAUAACUCGAGCAUUUAUUUCAUAGGGAAUAACAGGGAUAGGAAUAGUUUUUGGCUAUUCUCUCCUGGAUAGGAGUAGAAUAAUUUUGGGUGAAUCUAGAGAUGGAAAUGAGUGGAUGUAUGUGGAUGCGUACUUCCGGAGUAGAAGCAGCAUGUAUGAGUGAACGUGCAAGUGAAUCUUGAUUUUAACUACAUGACAAGCUCCUAAGGGUCUACAUAGCUUGACCACACUCAAUGCUCAUAAGCAGUAAA